RNAcentral lists this ribosomal RNA (1467 nucleotides) under uncultured Bordetella sp. RNAcentral's name for it is "partial 16S-23S ribosomal RNA intergenic spacer". It matches the Rfam family "Bacterial small subunit ribosomal RNA". Lineage: Bacteria; Pseudomonadati; Pseudomonadota; Betaproteobacteria; Burkholderiales; Alcaligenaceae. The record is from RNAcentral.
AGUUCGAUUAUGGCUCAGAUUGAACGCUGGCGGGAUGCUUUACAUGCAAGUCGAACGGCAGCACGGACUUCGGUCUGUGGCGAGUGGCGAACGGGUGAGUAAUGUAUCGGAACGUGCCUAGUAGUGGGGGGAUAACUACGCGAAAGCGUAGCUAAUACCGCAUACGCUCCUUCGGGGAAAGCGGGGACCUCGGGCCUCGCACUGUCAGAGCGGCCGAUAUCGGAUUAGCUAGUUGCGGGGUAACGGCUCACUAAGGCGACGAUCCGUAGCUGGUUUGAGAGGACGACCAGCCACACUGGGACCGGAGAUAUCGGCUCCAGACUCCUACGGAGGCAGCAGUGGGGAAUUUGACAAUGGGGGAAAAAUCCAGCCACUUCCGCGUGUGCGAUGAAGGCCUUCGGGUUGUAAAGCACUUUUGGCAGGAAGAAACGGCACGGGAUAAUACCUCGUGCAACUGACGGUACCUGCAGAAUAAGCACCGGCUAACUACGCCAGCAGCCGCGGUAAUACGUAGGUGCAAGCGUUAAUCGGAAUUCACGGGCGUAAAGCGUGCGCAGGCGGUUCGGAAAGAAAGAUGUGAAAUCCCAGAGCUUAACUUUGGAACUGCAUUUUUAACUACCGAGUUUAGAGUGUACGAGGGAGUGGAAUUCCGCGUGUAGCAGUGAAAUGCGUAGAUAUGCGGAGGAACAACGAUGGCGAAGGCAGCCUCCUGGGAUAACACUGACGCUCAUGCACGAAAGCGUGGGGAGCAAACAGGAUUAGAUACCCUGGUAGUCCACGCCCUAAACGAUGUCAACUAGCUGUUGGGGCCUUCGGGCCUUGCAGCGCAGCUAACGCGUGAAGCUGACCGCCUGGGGAGUACGGUCGCAAGAUUAAAACUCAAAGGAAUUGACGGGGACCUGCACAAGCGGUGGAUGAUGUGGAUUAAUUCGAUGCAACGCGAAAAACCUUACCUACCCUUGACAUGUCUGGAAUCCCGAAGAGAUUUGGGAGUGCUCGCAAGAGAACCGGAACACAGGUGCUGCAUGGCUGUCGUCAGCUCGUGUCGUGAGAUGUUGGGUUAAGUCCCGCAACGAGCGCAACCCUUUGUCAUUAUUGCUACGAAAGGGCACUCUAAUGAGACUGCUGCGACAAACCGAGGAAGGUGGGGAGACGUCAAGUCCCUCAUGGCCCUUAUGGUAGGGCUUCACACGUCAUACAAUGGUCGGGACAGAGGGUCGCCAACCCGCGAGGGGGAGCCAAUCCCAGAAACCCGAUCGUAGUCCGGAUCGUGUCUGUAACUCGACUGCGUGAAGUCGGAAUCGCUAGCAAUCGCGGAUCAGCAUGUCGCGGUGAAUACGUUCCCGGUCUUGUACACCGCCCGUCACACCAUGGGAGUGGGUUUUACCAGAAGUAGUUAGCUCAACCGUAAGGAGGGCGAUUACCACGGUAGGAUUCAUGCGACUGGGUGAAGUCGUAACAAGGUAG